UACGGAAGGUCCGGGCGUUAUCCGGAUUUAUUGGGUUUAAAGGGAGCGCAGGCUGGAUCUUAAGCGUGUUGUGAAAUGUACCGGCUCAACCGGUGGUGUGCAGCGCGAACUGGAGUCCUUGAGUGAGUACGACGUCAGCGGAAUUCGUGGUGUAGCGGUGAAAUGCUUAGAUAUCACGAAGAACACCGAUUGCGAAGGCAGCUGACGAGUCCUUAACUGACGCUAAAGCUCGAAAGUGCGGGUAUCGAAC
Molecule: ribosomal RNA, 250 nt
Filed under: uncultured prokaryote
Description: partial 16S ribosomal RNA
Rfam family: Bacterial small subunit ribosomal RNA
Source: RNAcentral